GUGGGGAAUUUUGGACAAUGGGCGCAAGCCUGAUCCAGCCAUUCCGCGUGCAGGAUGAAGGCCUUCGGGUUGUAAACUGCUUUUGUACGGAACGAAAAGCCUCUGGUUAAUACCCGGGGGUCAUGACGGUACCGUAAGAAUAAGCACCGGCUAACUACGUGCCAGCAGCCGCGGUAAUACGUAGGGUGCGAGCGUUAAUCGGAAUUACUGGGCGUAAAGCGUGCGCAGGCGGUGAUGUAAGACAGUUGUGAAAUCCCCGGGCUCAACCUGGGAACUGCAUCUGUGACUGCAUUGCUGGAGUGCGGCAGAGGGGGAUGGAAGUCCGCGUGUAGCAGUGAAAUGCGUAGAUAUGCGGAGGAACACCGAUGGCGAAGGCAAUCCCCUGGGCCUGCACUGACGCUCAUGCACGAAAGCGUGGGGAGCAAACAGGAUUAGAUACCCCGGUAGUCC
RNAcentral lists this ribosomal RNA (450 nucleotides) under uncultured bacterium. RNAcentral describes it as "partial 16S ribosomal RNA". It matches the Rfam family "Bacterial small subunit ribosomal RNA", at positions 354 to 796 of the family's 1533-position model. The record is from RNAcentral.